Molecule: long non-coding RNA, 1176 nt
Filed under: Lupinus angustifolius (narrow-leaved blue lupine)
Lineage: Eukaryota; Viridiplantae; Streptophyta; Magnoliopsida; Fabales; Fabaceae
Description: long non-coding RNA (LANG_LNC001533)
Source: RNAcentral
UGCUCAAUGAUUACUAAAUCAUUUUGCCACUCAUUACUUCAUUUAACAUGACCAGGAUUGCUGCCUAACCUUGUUGUUUUGGAAUCUUUUUCUGAACAUUCCCUACUGAAAUGCCUUUUAUGCUUAGUGGAAUACAUAACUGAAAAGGAAUAUGCCAACUGGUGAUGACUUCUGGUUUGCAUUUCCUCUUUGAAUUAAUCAUAUGACUGGUUUAUAAUAUGCUUCUGUUUGUUUUUGCAGUGGAUGAUUCUAUUUGGUUUUAGACUCAUUGACUUCUCCAUUUGGUUCACCANUCACCAUCAUCUCUUCCCUCUUUCAUUAUUUUACAUCAUCAUUAAUUGUUGGUACCAAAGAGCAACACAAGCUGCAGAUGCGAGAUCCCAGUGUCCAGGUGAGAUGCUAUAAUAAGGUUCCAAUUGUAGUCGAGUUUUCUACACAUAUGCAAGAGCAGUGAGAUUCUUUUCUCACUUAGCCUUUUGUUACGGUUGCUCAUCAAUUUAAUCAGGGGUAACUUUUUCACAACUUUCUUUUCCUUUUGCAUGAUUAGCUAUCUGCACCAACACAACUUUUUCUUGACACUCAGGGUGCCGAAUGAGAAGCUGCUCCAUGGCCAAAAGCUUUAAACUUAUUCCCUUGAAAAUAUCCAUGUCAUCUGCACCAAGCAACAUUAUCUUCCCCUGACCAGAGAACUGUUUAACAAGCUCUCCAACUUUUUCUUCAGUCCUUGGCAUGCUGCACCAAGCAACAUUAUCUUCCCCUGACCAGAGAACUGUUUAACAAGCUCUCCAACUUUUGUUUCAGUCCUUGGCAUGCUCAUUUAUUGAAUUCAUGAUUCUAACAGUAAAUUUUAGUAUAUCAAUUACACUAUGGUGAAUUCAUUAGGAAAUCUCCUGAUUUAAUGCAUGUAUAUUUUAUACAAUGCAACCUUUUAUUCCAAAUUCGUGCCCCUGUUUGUAUGAUAGAUAGUGUAGGAUCCUGAGUAACUUUAUGUCCAGGUUAUGGUCUUUGAUAGCAUUAACCAAACUAUACCUUAAAUCUUAAUUCGAGUGUUCAUAGUGAUAUGAACUUAUUUUCUAUCGGCUUGCCAACUUUGAUUAUUGCUGAAAGAUGUCAAAAUCCUAUUCUAAAUGAGAGGAAAGUUGGGUGUUGCAUGUAAAUUAAUUUAGAAGAUAGCUG